RNAcentral lists this ribosomal RNA (426 nucleotides) under Triticum aestivum (bread wheat). RNAcentral's name for it is "partial small subunit ribosomal RNA". Lineage: Eukaryota; Viridiplantae; Streptophyta; Magnoliopsida; Poales; Poaceae. The record is from RNAcentral.
AUGGCGGCGCUGCCCAUUAGAUAUUUAGGCCUCCCGAUCCCCACCGGCAAGCUUAGACUAGUGCACCUGCAGUUCAUCUUAGAUAGGAUUCGAGCACGGUUAGCGGGCUGGAAGGGCAGGCUGCUACCAAUCGCGGGCACGCGUGUGCUGGUAAGGUGCGUGCUCUCGGCCAUGCCCACUUUCGCCCUCACUGUCCUUCGAGCCCCGAAGAAGUUCUUCAAGGACGUCGACAAGGCCAGGAGGCGCUUCCUUUGGGCGCACGACGGCGAGAUCACUGGCGGAAAGUGUAAGGUGGGCUGGAAGAUGGUCACAAGACCAGAGCGCCCUGGCGGCCUGGGCAUACACGACCUGUCUGCGUUCGCCCGCGCGCUGCGGCUCCGCUGGCUCUGGCUUGCCUGGAUGCAGCCAAACCGGCCCUGGGUCGGC